This is a non-coding RNA of Camellia sinensis, 3897 nucleotides long. NCBI's taxonomy places the organism in Eukaryota, Viridiplantae, Streptophyta, Magnoliopsida, Ericales, Theaceae. The record is from RefSeq and is a predicted model, not a curated record.
UUUUAAAAAAUGGAGAGUUGUUUCAACAAUGAUGUAAUAGGUCAUAUAAGCACUGUUGAUUGGAAGUUGUUUUCUCAGCCAUCAAUAAUAUGAAUCUUAUGAUUCAAACGUUUAUUGCAAUCUUUUUCCUACAUCCUAUGUUUGAGUUAUUCGUUGGAUGAUAUGUGAUUUGUUUUCUUUAAUUGGGAGGGCCAUGUGCCAAGUGCAUUUGAAUCCAUUGGGAUAUAUUAAACAAAGGAAACGUAUGCAUAAUUUGUAUAAAAACAUAAAACUAUGCCACCUUGAGUUUUCUACAAUAUCAUGGAAGACAUAUUCUUGGUUUAAUCUUUCAGUUACACUUGACUUGCAUAUUCAAUGAGAAUAGAGCAGAAAUUCAAUACAUGGUGAAUGAAUUGGUUACAAAAGGAUCUCUUUUGUACUAUAAGAUGAUUCUUAAUGCAAUCCUUCCAUAUCCAAUAUGAAAACUCUAUGCAUACACAAAUAUUUUAAUGCAUGUCUGUCUUUAUAUGAAAUUUGUAUUUGUUCAAUUCAUUUCUUAUGGGGUUUAGUUUUUUUUAAAAAAAUAAAUCUUUGGGUUAAUUUGAUUAUUUGAUUAAAAAUAAAAAAAGGUCAAUUAAUGGUGUUUGAUUACAAUUCUAGAUUGUAGAUUAUUUGAAACUCUAAAAUACCAUCUUAGUGUUUAUGCUAAUCAUUUUGAGCAUUGAUGCGUGUAAUUAAUUUUAGUGGUUUUUGUGGAUGCAAUUUGUUAGCAAGUGAAAAGUUCAAGAUGGACAAAACAUGGAUACAUUUUUGAAGGUUUAUUAUAUGCACAACCAUAAAUAUGCUUUCAAAUGUUAAGUUACUCAUUUUGUUUGGAUGGAAUCAAUAAUAAUUUAAAGUUUUUAGAGUAUCGAAUGAGUAUGUGGAUAGAGCGAGAAAAUUUGUCAACAUGGCUAAGGCAAAUUCAAGGAAUCCUUAUAUGAUCAUAUGCCUGUGUGAAAGUUGUUGAAACCUGUCACAAAAACAUUGUGAUACUGUUUUUGAGCAUUUGGUCAUUGUAAGGUUGGAUCCUAAAUAUACGUCAUGGGUUCUUCAUGGUGAACGAUGAAGUGAAAUUGUAGAAGUUGAAGACAAUGUUGAAAUUCCAGAGACAUAUAGGCUGUUUAGAGAUGUUUAUGAAAACGAUGAUUAUUCGCAACCUACAAAUGAAAGUAGAGAGAGGGAGUUCACACAAGCAUUAGAAGAUGCUGAAACUCCUUUAUAUUUAGGUUAUACAAAGUACACUAAAUUCUCAGCAAUUGUCGUUUUAUACAAGCAUAAAGCUGUGCAUGGGACAUCUGAUAAGAGUUUUGACGAAAAUUUGAGAUUAAUGUCUGACAUGCUACCAGCAGGUAACAUACUUGUGCAAACUAAGAAGAUUAAAAAGGGGGUUCUAGCGAAGGUGUUGCAUUAUUUUCCCAUAACUCCAAUAUUUAGAAGAAUGUUCAUGUCAUAAGAAAAAGCAGAGUAAUUAACUUGGCAUUCCACUCACAAAAGUCAAGAUGGAAAGAUGCGACAUCCAAUUGAUUUGUUGGCAUGGGAUGCAAUUGAUCACAAGUGGCCCUCUUUUGCAUCGGAUCCACGAAACCUUCAACUUGUUCUUGCAACAGAUGGAUUCAAUCCCUUUGCAAAUCUUAGCUCAAUUUAAAAUUGUUGGCCAAUGAUGUUAGUGACUUAUAAUCUUCCUCCAUGGUUAUGCAUGGCAAAGGAAAAUAUAAUGUUCACAUUACUUAUACUGGGACCAAAGCAACCAGUGAAUGACAUAGAUAUGUAUUUGCAGCCACUUAUAGAAGACCUACAAGAAUUAUGGAAUAAUGGUGUGGAGGUCUAUGACGCAACCAGUAAGUCUAUGUUUAAUUUGAAGGUUAUGUUGAUGUGGAUAAUGAAUGAUUUUCUAGCUUAUGGGAACUUAGUUGGAUGUGCCACAAAAGGGAAAGUUGCAUGUCUUGUAUGUAGCAUUAACACAUGCUCGUAGUGGUUGAAUCACAGUAAGAAGACAGUGUACAUGGGCCACAGGCGAUUUCUAUCUCUGGAUCAUCCAUUUCGAAUGAAAAGAAGUUGGUUUAAUGGAAAACAAGAACUUGGGGGGAAGCCUGAACUAUUGAGUGGAUUUGAUGUGUUACAUGUAGUAAGGGACAUUGAAACUAAUUGGGGAAAAACUACAAAGGAAAGGAAAAGAAAAAAGGAUCUAGACCAAAAAGCACCCCAACCAAAAAGAGUGAUUGCGUCCAACCAUGGAAGAAGAAAUCUAUAUUUUUCAAUCUACCAUAUUGGGAUGUAAGUCCUUGGAAAGUAGGAUUUCAUAUUCUUUUGUGGAACAUUAGUUCUUGGUUAAAAUUUUUCUUCUAAUUUUUUAAAUAAUAAAUCUUUUAUUGAUGUUACAGGCAUUGCUUUUACGUCAUAACUUGCAUGUGAUGCACAUCGAGAAAAAUGUUUGUGAAAGCAUUUUAUGCACACUUUUAAAUGUCAAGGAGAAAUUGAAGGAUGGUCUUAAGGCUUGUAAAGAUUUGGCAGAAAUGGGAAUUAGCAGUGAAUUGCAUGCAGAGGAUGAAGGAUCCCAUUUUUACUUGCCACCAACAUCAAAUACACUUUCAAAAGAUGAAAAUAAGAUUUUUUGUUCUAGGCUACAAGAUUUGAAGUUGCCUGAUGGUUAUAGAUCAAAUAUUGCUAAUUGUGUUUCAUUAUAAGAAUGCAAGAUAGUUGGACUCAAGUCACAUGAUUGUCAUGUCAUGUUUCAACAAUUGUUAUCAAUUGCAUUGAGAGAACUUUUGCCAAAAGGACCAAGGAAUGCAAUAUUCCGAAUGUGCUCUUUUUUAAUCAGUUAUGUCAAAGGGUGAUUGAUGGGAAUAAGAUAGAACAACUUGAAAAUGAUGUUGCCGAGACAUUGUGUAUGUUAGAAAGAUACUUCCCUCUAUCGUUUUUUGAUGUUAUGGUACACUUAACAACUCAUAUAGGGCAAGAAGCUCGCAUAUGUGGGCCAGUGCAGUUUCGUUGGAUGUAUCCAUUUGAAGGUGGAAUUUUUUUCUAAGGAUUUAGUAAUUGAAGUUGCCAACCAACAAUGUGUGCGGAGAGUUCUAAAAGGCAGCAAAAAGACAUAAGAAAGAGCAAGAAGCUAUAGCUACUACCACAAUGGAUAAUAGAAGUUAUGGGCCCAUUAGAAUUUCAGCUAUAGGUUCCAAUACUUGACAAAUUGAAUCACCAAAUGCAGAUGGAGUAGUUGAUUUUGGUCAAGAACCAAAGAAAAAAACUAGGGGGCCGUCAAAGUUAAAGAUGCAUGACAAAGGCAAACAAAAGUGUGAUGAGAUCGACUUCAAUGAAAGGAGCCAACCGAUAGGACAAGAAUCAGUGCACUUACUAACCUUAGAAGGGAUCUUAGCUCGGGAGAUGGUGCUAAUUAAUAUCGAUUAUUGGUCUGAAUUUCUAGAUGAGAUUAAGGAUAAGUUAUGGGCUUAUGUGAAGCUUAGAUAUAAAAUACAUGAUAUCCACAAGACACAUGUGAUGCAAAAGUUGGCAAAAUUGUAGCGCAAUUACAAGUCUGAACUAUCAAGAAAAAUAAGAACUCUCGCUGCAGUAGGUAAAGGUCAUUUAGCACGUGAUAUUUCCCUCAGCAAACCUGAUAAGAUUGGAAUGGCUGAAUGGAAGGUAUUUGGGAAAAAUCAACUUUCAAAAAGCUUCAUUAUAAGUUUUUUUUUUCCAUAACAAAUAGAAGCUCAUUUAGUUUCAUAACAAUUAAGAUAAAGAUUAGAAGUUCUUUAAAAAUUUGGACAUUUCAAAUGUUUACACUGAGGAAAAGAGUGAUAAAUUCAAAGAGAUGAGAGCAAAGCAGAAGGCGUUACACAUGAUGAAUAGAAAAGCCUAUGCACAGCUAGAGGAAGACAU